Molecule: non-coding RNA, 106 nt
Organism: Acanthosepion pharaonis
Lineage: Eukaryota; Metazoa; Mollusca; Cephalopoda; Sepiida; Sepiidae
Source: the annotation of a GenBank genome assembly
UUACGGCCACAUCACGUUGAAACACCAGUUCCCGUACAAUCACAGGAGUUAAGUACCAGCGACCCUGGUCACUAUCUGGAUGGGUGACCGCUUGGGAAUACCAGGC